Molecule: non-coding RNA, 111 nt
Organism: Caerostris extrusa
Lineage: Eukaryota; Metazoa; Arthropoda; Arachnida; Araneae; Araneidae
Source: the annotation of a GenBank genome assembly
AACGGCCAUACCAUGCUGAAUAUACGGUUCUCGUGAGAUCACCGAAGUCAAGCAUCAUUGGGCGCGGUCAGUACUUGGAUGGUAGGCCACCUGGGAACACCGCGUGCCGUU